AAGGCUUUAAGUUAACUAAACUAACAGCCUUCAAAGCUGUAAAUAAAAAACACUUUUUAAGCCUUA
This 66-nucleotide transfer RNA is filed under the name Chizuella bonneti. RNAcentral describes it as "Metrioptera bonneti tRNA-Trp". The record is from RNAcentral. Lineage: Eukaryota; Metazoa; Arthropoda; Insecta; Orthoptera; Tettigoniidae.